UACGAAGGGGGCUAGCGUUGCUCGGAAUCACUGGGCGUAAAGGGUGCGUAGGCGGGUCGUUAAGUCAGGGGUGAAAUCCUGGAGCUCAACUCCAGAACUGCCUUUGAUACUGAGGAUCUUGAGUACGGGAGAGGUGAGUGGAACUGCGAGUGUAGAGGUGAAAUUCGUAGAUAUUCGCAAGAACACCAGUGGCGAAGGCGGCUCACUGGCCCGUAACUGACGCUGAGGCACGAAAGCGUGGGGAGCAAACAGG
RNAcentral lists this ribosomal RNA (253 nucleotides) under uncultured bacterium. Its description in RNAcentral is "partial 16S ribosomal RNA". It matches the Rfam family "Bacterial small subunit ribosomal RNA", at positions 524 to 776 of the family's 1533-position model. The record is from RNAcentral.